This is a non-coding RNA of Tachyglossus aculeatus (Australian echidna), 424 nucleotides long. The record is from the annotation of a RefSeq genome assembly. NCBI's taxonomy places the organism in Eukaryota, Metazoa, Chordata, Mammalia, Monotremata, Tachyglossidae.
CUGCGCCGUUCCCCUCCUGCCUCCAGAAUUGUCCCCACAGACCCCCACCAUGCAGUCUGCCCUCGGUCUACUUUCCAUCCUGACCCUGAUCCAAGGUGCCCAGGGUGAUGUACUGAUCGAGUCAGGGGGUGAUGUGAAACCGCCUGGAGCAUCUCUGCUCCUCUCCUGUAAAACCUCCGGAUUCACCUUCAGUAACUAUGGCAUGCACUGGGUUCGCCAGGCUCCAGGGAAGGGACUGGAGUGGGUCGCAGUUAUAAAUAGUAAAGGGGACUGGACAAGUUACGCAGGCUCUGUGAAAGGCCGAUUCACCAUCUCCAGGGACAUCGCCAACAGCCAGCUAUAUCUGCAAAUGACCAACCUGAAAACUGAGGACAUGGCCCUCUAUUAUUGUGCAAGAAACACAGUGAGAGAAACCACAUCCUGA